Molecule: long non-coding RNA, 955 nt
Filed under: Portunus trituberculatus (swimming crab)
Lineage: Eukaryota; Metazoa; Arthropoda; Malacostraca; Decapoda; Portunidae
Description: uncharacterized LOC123511937, transcript variant X2
Source: RNAcentral
UUUCUCAGAUUUCUUCCCCCUUCUUGUGGGUGUUUACAUUAGUAGGGCAUUGUGGGUCCUGUGAUAUUUGUGGUGUCUAUAAAUCACGUGUCACGGUCUCACGGACGUCCAAUGAGAGCCCGCCGGUAGCCGGUAGUUAGUUCAAUGACGUAUCACGGCAAAACCAAUCACGGGCGCUGGACUGUAGGACGUCCAAUGGGAGCCCGCCAUGCUGGGAGGUAUUCUAUUGUUGCAUUUGUUUCUACUGAGAGAGGUGAGCCUGACCACGGCUCUUCCUUCUAUUUGCUAAGCUGCUUUUAUUGUGGACGCCCGUCACCCACUCCUCUGACUCAUGCACUGAUUGGACUUGGGAGAUGACAACGGCCACAGUUCUCCUCAGCAAUCCCCAUGGAGGACGGCAACACUCCCUUCCCUGCUCCCACACUGCUGCCGAUCCUGGUGGUGGUGAGCUGGACUCCCUCCCUACCCUCAUGACUUGGUCAACAAGGACACCACAACUGCACCCUUCCUGUGGUUGCUGGUUGAGGUCGUCUUUGUGAGUGCUGCACCAUGGACCAGAGGUGAGCAGAAUGGCUGCGUCUGAGCUGCCCGACAACACCGGAAGAGGACUGAAUGGGAGGUGGAACAAGAGAGACUAGAGUGUGAGAGAAGGUUGGAUCUGUACAAUGCAGAAAUACUGUCCAAGAGACUAAAGGGAAAAGGAUCCAAGACUGUUCUUGCUGGUGAGCUCCACUAAGUGUGCCAACACACACCAAGCAAAACCACUUCACCCACCAGUCCACUACUUGGUACUAUAGGAGCAGCUUGACUUCAAUGUGGACAUUCUUCUGCAGUCCUGGACAGCUGUUCUUAGUGAUGGAGGCAAGUGUGAUGUUGUGUGACGUAUUUGUAAGCUGGUUGCUGCACUCUGUAUCAAUCUAGACACUAGCCUGUCUUGUUGCUUUCCUCCACAUCC